GGUGGGGGAGGGGCACAGGGUAAAGUCCCCAAUCCCUGUCUUACCCUGUCAGUGGAGAGGAAAAGAAACCCACCUGUCCCAGUCCCUGUGGACCCCCGAGGAGCAGGCCAAGGACCUCCAGCAUCACAGCCUCGCAUGACCCCGGCUGGGGUGGCCGGUCCUGUGACCGGGGCCAGGGUGUGGCCGGUUCCCUCUUGCCUGUGUUGAAGCAUGGACUCCUCUGGGCCCUCAGCCAUCAGCCCAGCCUCCCUCACGGAAGAUGGAGAAUUCCAGACAAAGCUCAUCCUUCCUCCAGGAAAGCCUGCUCCAUCUGCAGUAAUUGACGGCCUGAGAAGCUCUGCUCUUGGGCUGAACCCCAAGCAGGAGGAGGCCGGGGUCCUCAGGAGCAGCAGGGAGUCUCAGGACAGGAUGGCCAGGGCCAGAGGUCACCUGGUGAGGCGGACAUGUACUCCCAACCUGGGAGGUGUGGGGACUGCAAGAGAAACAGAGCUGGCAGUGGGAGGCUGGACGUGGUAGGCAAUGCCGGUCCUGCAUCCGGGCCCAUGACCGUUCUCACGGCGGCGAGCUGUGAUGGGGAGGCUGCCUUCCAGGUGCCAAGGUUAGAAAACCAAUCCCGGGCAGCCCUGCCGGGAGAAAGCUGGUAUUCUACAAAGGCGCGUGAAGAGGCGAACACGCA
Molecule: long non-coding RNA, 676 nt
Filed under: Pan troglodytes (chimpanzee)
Lineage: Eukaryota; Metazoa; Chordata; Mammalia; Primates; Hominidae
Description: long non-coding RNA NONPTRT015410
Source: RNAcentral